CAGCCGCCGCGGGAAUACCGAGGGUGCGAGCGUUAAUCGGAUUUACUGGGCGUAAAGCGUGCGUAGGCGGCUUCUUAAGUCGGAUGUGAAAUCCCUGAGCUUAACUUAGGAAUUGCAUUCGAUACUGGGAAGCUAGAGUAUGGGAGAGGAUGGUAGAAUUCCAGGUGUAGCGGUGAAAUGCGUAGAGAUCUGGAGGAAUACCGAUGGCGAAGGCAGCCAUCUGGCCUAAUACUGACGCUGAGGUACGAAAGCAUGGGGAGCAAACAGGAUUAGAGACCCCUGUAGUCCCUGUCUCUUAUAC
RNAcentral lists this ribosomal RNA (301 nucleotides) under uncultured bacterium. RNAcentral's name for it is "partial 16S ribosomal RNA". It matches the Rfam family "Bacterial small subunit ribosomal RNA", at positions 509 to 807 of the family's 1533-position model. The record is from RNAcentral.